GUAAAUCACAGUUUUGAGAGAAACUUUAAAGCUGGGGACUGAAAUGCACUUUUCGAAAGCUUGAGGCUGUAAUACGGAUUUUUCAGUAUUUCAAAUCGACCCGGCUCAAAAUCGGGAAUAACCAAAAUAUGGGCCAAAUUGAAAUAAUGCUAAAUAUCUCAAACUUAAAUUAGGGGACCAAAUUUGAAAUUACAGAAACCCUAACCCUAAAUCUGGGGUUAAAUUGAUAUUUUCCGAAACUUCAUAAACCUAAUUUUCCUUCUCCAGCAAAAUCAAUCGCCGCAAGAUCUCUCUUCAACCUCAAAACCGCUGCCCACCCUUAAUACCAUAAACCGCCGUCCGCCGCUGCGUUACCCACAAAACAACCAUCGCCGGAAAUGAGAUCCAGACAAUCCUCUCGCCGGCGGAGUCCACCGUCGGCGAUCCGCUGAUCUCCUUUGGCGAAUAGCACGACCAAUCGUCGCGAAAGACGAGGGACGCGUGAAUCUUCUUAUUCGCCGCCGGAAAUUAAACUAUGGUUGUCGGAUUUACCCUUUUUUUUUUUUUUUGUUGACUGAAUUGAGGUUGAUAUGAUGCUUGAACUGGUGGGUUGCUGACUUUAAUGGCGGUGGUAACCUGAACUGAACCGGCGGCAGUGGGCGGUCGGGGAGGUUAGGACUUUCUUGGUGUUGCCGUACGGGUGGCUCGGCCGGGCAAACAUUACCGGCUGCCAUCCAAUAACCACCAAGUUGGAAUUUUCAGAUUUAAACCCUAAUCCUCAG
Molecule: long non-coding RNA, 761 nt
Filed under: Erythranthe guttata (spotted monkey flower)
Lineage: Eukaryota; Viridiplantae; Streptophyta; Magnoliopsida; Lamiales; Phrymaceae
Description: long non-coding RNA (EGUT_LNC003833)
Source: RNAcentral